This is a non-coding RNA of Callithrix jacchus (white-tufted-ear marmoset), 47 nucleotides long. Lineage: Eukaryota; Metazoa; Chordata; Mammalia; Primates; Cebidae. The record is from Rfam.
GAAAAGGCUCUUUUCAGAGCCACUUAAAAUUUCACUUAAACAGUUGU